CCUACGGGCGGCAGCAGUGGGGGAUAUUGCACAAUGGGGGGAACUCUGAUGCAGCGACGCCGCGUGGGUGAAGAAGCGCCUCGGCGCGUAAAGCCCUGUUAGCAGGGAAGAAAAUGACGGUACCUGAAGAAGAAGCCCCGGCUAACUACGUGCCAGCAGCCGCGGUAAUACGGAGGGGGCAAGCGUUAUCCGGAUUUACUGGGUGUAAAGGGGGCGCAGACGGCGAGGCAAGCCAGGAGUGAAAGCCCGGGGCCCAACCCCGGGACUGCUCUUGAAACUGCGGGGCUGGAGUGCAGGAGGGGCAGGCGGAAUGUCUGGUGUAGCGGUGAAAUGCGUAGAUAUCAGGAGGAACACCGGUGGCGAAGGCGGCUUGCUGGACUGCAACUGACGUUGAGGCCCGAAAGCGUGGGUAGCAAACAGGAUUAGAUACCCUAGUAGUC
Molecule: ribosomal RNA, 440 nt
Filed under: uncultured bacterium
Lineage: Bacteria
Description: partial 16S ribosomal RNA
Rfam family: Bacterial small subunit ribosomal RNA
Source: RNAcentral